CCGGUUUAUACAAUCCUUGCUGUGUUCGGCUUUAGCCGGCAAAAACUCGGUUAACUUCGUGCUCUGGCGAGGGUUCAUGUCGAUUUUAUACGCCUGUGCCGGUCAGAAUACGUAGCUAGUUAUUUGUGUUUUGUGCGUUUUUCCUAGUUUAUCCCACUGUUUUGCCGAAAAGGUUUAGUGCCAGAAUUUGAAAAGUGAUAUUUUAUGUAACUGUGUAUAAAUAUUAAACCAUGGAAACAAAUAUGACUGUGGAUGUGGACAAAGACAUUUUUAACCAAAAAUUAUCCGAAAUGUUAAGUAAACAAUCUGUGAACACAUUGCUAUUUCCUCGCGAGCGGUACAAUCGUAUGGUUGAGAAGAUAAAGUUAUCGAAAUCGAAUCCUAAAAAGACCCCCGACGAUUACCGUCGUGCUAAAAAAUAUGAUAUUGUGGAAACACCUGAUGGUGAGCGUAUGUUAGCCAGGCCGACACCUCUGGACAAACAUAACAGACGGCUAAUGCUCGUACCUAUUGAAGAAAUGUAUGAUAUUGUAAGUGAAUAUCACACAAAAUUAAACCAUGCUGGCAGGGGCCGCAUGAUGACACAAAUUAAACGAAAGUAUAAGAACAUUACUGCCCAAGUCGUUCUACUCUAUUCGUCGCUUUGCCACACUUGCAAAAACAGGCUUGUGGUGCGCCAAAGGAACUCGCAGCCAAAGCCGGUUAAAACAGACUUGUUGGUGAAUUUUGAAGACGACCCGUUAAAAGAAACAUCUGUUAAUUUAGAAGCUAGGAGUUUAGCCGUAACACAGACACCUGGUUGGAAAUACCCCGAACUAUAUUCACGAGCGCAAGUUGAUUUGUUAAGUGUCAUGAAUGAAUCUAGGGAGGAAUAUAAAUUUUUGAUGGUGUAUAGAAAUUUCGUGACAAAAUUCAUCCAUUUAAAGGCAAUGAGACAAUUGUGUGUUGACGAAGCUGUUGAUGCAUUAUUAGAAAUUUUUCUUGUCUUCGGCGCACCUAAUAUAUUGCAAUCGAAGAAUGGCAUUGUCAUUGCAAAGCCUAUUUGUAGACGUAUAGGUAAUCUUUGUCCAAAUAUUAAAAUAGUAGCUUCUGAGAGUGUUUUUACGAACCAAGAUUUUAAAGGGAAAUCGAAUGAGGAUAUACUCAAAAUGCUAAACGACUGGCUCGUAAAGACACAGAACGUUAAGUGGCAGGAAGGCGUAAAAUUUGUUCAACAUACAUUGAACACGACAUUUCACGAGACCCUAUGUAGAACGCCGAGUGAAAUAACUUUUGGAACAAAUCCAAGGAAAGGAUUGAGUUCAGACAUGUCUAGGAACGAUUACGAAGACAUGUUUACCGAACAAGAUCUGAAAGCUAGUUUGGAACAAAAAGAAUCUCGAGAAAAUGUUCCAAAACAAUUAAAACUGGAAGAGUCGUUGAUAGUGCCAUCUACUUUUAUUAAGUUAGAAGAAGACAUAGAAGAUAAUGUGAUUGAGGAUGAUAAUAUGGAUAUUUAGCUUUCAAUAGAACAUUUAAUAGAUUAUAUUAUGAAUGCUGAUGUACAGGCGUGAUAAAAUUAUUUUUCUAUGGCAUUUGGUGAAUCGGGCCCUGAAGUCCGGCCCUUGGAGCCAGUCGUCCCGACAAGGCAGAGUUGCGAGGACGGUAGAUCCGCGCGACAUGCAGAGGGCGUUACUUGAAGCACAUAGCAUAUAUUCUGA
RNAcentral lists this unclassified non-coding RNA (1700 nucleotides) under Manduca sexta (tobacco hornworm). RNAcentral describes it as "uncharacterized LOC115445663, transcript variant X2". Lineage: Eukaryota; Metazoa; Arthropoda; Insecta; Lepidoptera; Sphingidae. The record is from RNAcentral.